AUCACUUCUCGGCCUUUUGGCUAAGAUCAAGUGUAGUAUCUGUUCUCAUCAGUUUAGUAUCUGAUAUGUCCUCUAUCUGAGGACAAUAUAUUAAAUAGAUUUUUGGAGCAGGGAGAUGCAAUAGGAGCUUGCUCCGUCCACUCCAUGCAUCGACCUGGUAUUGCAGUACCUCCAGGAACGGUGCACUCGCU
RNAcentral lists this small nuclear RNA (191 nucleotides) under Pan paniscus (pygmy chimpanzee). Its description in RNAcentral is "U2 spliceosomal RNA (ENSPPAG00000012033.1)". It matches the Rfam family "U2 spliceosomal RNA". From Rfam's summary of the family: U2 is a small nuclear RNA (snRNA) component of the spliceosome (involved in pre-mRNA splicing). Complementary binding between U2 snRNA (in an area lying towards the 5' end but 3' to hairpin I) and the branchpoint sequence (BPS) of the intron results the bulging out of an unpaired adenosine, on the BPS, which initiates a nucleophilic attack at the intronic 5' splice site, thus starting the first of two transesterification reactions that mediate splicing. The record is from Rfam by way of RNAcentral. Lineage: Eukaryota; Metazoa; Chordata; Mammalia; Primates; Hominidae.